Phacochoerus africanus (Common warthog) is the source of this 413-nucleotide long non-coding RNA. RefSeq lists it as uncharacterized. NCBI's taxonomy places the organism in Eukaryota, Metazoa, Chordata, Mammalia, Artiodactyla, Suidae. The transcript is spliced from 6 exons. The record is from RefSeq and is a predicted model, not a curated record.
AGGUGGCUGGAUCCAAACAAACCAAUAAGGAAGCAGCUAAAGAGAGGAUCUCCUUACAGUUUGAACUUUAGAGUCAAAUUUUUUGUAAGUGACCCCAACAAGUUACAAGAAGAAUAUACAAGGUACCAAUAUUUUUUGCAAAUCAAACAAGACGUUCUUACUGGAAGAUUGCCCUGUCCUUAUAAUACUGCUGCUCUUUUGGCUUCAUUUGCUGUUCAGUCUGAACUUGGAGACUACAAUCAAACAGAAAAUUUGCCAGGCUACCUCUCAGAUUAUUCUUUCAUUCCUAAUCAGCCUCAAGAUUUUGAAAAAGAAAUUGCAAAAUUACAUCAGCAACAUACAGGCUUAUCUCCUGCAGAAGCAGAAUUUAAUUACCUGAACACAGCACGUACCUUAGAACUCUAUGGAGUUGA